This is a small nucleolar RNA of Pipistrellus kuhlii (Kuhl's pipistrelle), 137 nucleotides long. RefSeq annotates it as small nucleolar RNA SNORA29. The record is from RefSeq and is a predicted model, not a curated record. The transcript has a single exon. Lineage: Eukaryota; Metazoa; Chordata; Mammalia; Chiroptera; Vespertilionidae.
CUUCCCGUUUGACUACCACAUUUUCUCCUAGUAGAUUUUGGUGGCUAUGCUUAUGGGAUAGAUUAAAAUUGCCAUGAUCUGAAGAGAGAGGAUCUAUUUGUGCCCUCCUCCUAUAUGAAAUGGCGGGACAGAACAUU